RNAcentral lists this ribosomal RNA (1540 nucleotides) under Staphylococcus aureus Rd.9. RNAcentral describes it as "16S ribosomal RNA". It matches the Rfam family "Bacterial small subunit ribosomal RNA". Lineage: Bacteria; Bacillati; Bacillota; Bacilli; Caryophanales; Staphylococcaceae. The record is from RNAcentral.
AGAGUUUGAUCUUGGCUCAGGAUGAACGCUGGCGGCGUGCCUAAUACAUGCAAGUCGAGCGAACGGACGAGAAGCUUGCUUCUCUGAUGUUAGCGGCGGACGGGUGAGUAACACGUGGAUAACCUACCUAUAAGACUGGGAUAACUUCGGGAAACCGGAGCUAAUACCGGAUAAUAUUUUGAACCGCAUGGUUCAAAAGUGAAAGACGGUCUUGCUGUCACUUAUAGAUGGAUCCGCGCUGCAUUAGCUAGUUGGUAAGGUAACGGCUUACCAAGGCAACGAUGCAUAGCCGACCUGAGAGGGUGAUCGGCCACACUGGAACUGAGACACGGUCCAGACUCCUACGGGAGGCAGCAGUAGGGAAUCUUCCGCAAUGGGCGAAAGCCUGACGGAGCAACGCCGCGUGAGUGAUGAAGGUCUUCGGAUCGUAAAACUCUGUUAUUAGGGAAGAACAUAUGUGUAAGUAACUGUGCACAUCUUGACGGUACCUAAUCAGAAAGCCACGGCUAACUACGUGCCAGCAGCCGCGGUAAUACGUAGGUGGCAAGCGUUAUCCGGAAUUAUUGGGCGUAAAGCGCGCGUAGGCGGUUUUUUAAGUCUGAUGUGAAAGCCCACGGCUCAACCGUGGAGGGUCAUUGGAAACUGGAAAACUUGAGUGCAGAAGAGGAAAGUGGAAUUCCAUGUGUAGCGGUGAAAUGCGCAGAGAUAUGGAGGAACACCAGUGGCGAAGGCGACUUUCUGGUCUGUAACUGACGCUGAUGUGCGAAAGCGUGGGGAUCAAACAGGAUUAGAUACCCUGGUAGUCCACGCCGUAAACGAUGAGUGCUAAGUGUUAGGGGGUUUCCGCCCCUUAGUGCUGCAGCUAACGCAUUAAGCACUCCGCCUGGGGAGUACGACCGCAAGGUUGAAACUCAAAGGAAUUGACGGGGACCCGCACAAGCGGUGGAGCAUGUGGUUUAAUUCGAAGCAACGCGAAGAACCUUACCAAAUCUUGACAUCCUUUGACAACUCUAGAGAUAGAGCCUUCCCCUUCGGGGGACAAAGUGACAGGUGGUGCAUGGUUGUCGUCAGCUCGUGUCGUGAGAUGUUGGGUUAAGUCCCGCAACGAGCGCAACCCUUAAGCUUAGUUGCCAUCAUUAAGUUGGGCACUCUAAGUUGACUGCCGGUGACAAACCGGAGGAAGGUGGGGAUGACGUCAAAUCAUCAUGCCCCUUAUGAUUUGGGCUACACACGUGCUACAAUGGACAAUACAAAGGGCAGCGAAACCGCGAGGUCAAGCAAAUCCCAUAAAGUUGUUCUCAGUUCGGAUUGUAGUCUGCAACUCGACUACAUGAAGCUGGAAUCGCUAGUAAUCGUAGAUCAGCAUGCUACGGUGAAUACGUUCCCGGGUCUUGUACACACCGCCCGUCACACCACGAGAGUUUGUAACACCCGAAGCCGGUGGAGUAACCUUUUAGGAGCUAGCCGUCGAAGGUGGGACAAAUGAUUGGGGUGAAGUCGUAACAAGGUAGCCGUAUCGGAAGGUGCGGCUGGAUCACCU